GUAGGUGGCAAGCGUUGUCCGGAAUUAUUGGGCGUAAAGCGCGCGCAGGCGGUCCUUUAAGUCUGAUGUGAAAGCCCACGGCUCAACCGUGGAGGGUCAUUGGAAACUGGGGGACUUGAGUACAGAAGAGGAAAGCGGAAUUCCAAGUGUAGCGGUGAAAUGCGUAGAGAUGUGGAGGAACACCAGAGGCGAAGGCGGCUUUCUGGUCUGUAACUGACGCUGAGGCGCGAAAGCGUGGGGAGCAAACAGGGAUUAGAUACCCUGGUAGUCCACGCCGUAAACGAUGAGUGCUAAGUGUUAGGGGGUUUCCCGCCCCUUAGUGCUGCAGCUAACGCAUUAAGCACUCCGCCUGGGGAGUACGGCCGCAAGGCUG
Molecule: ribosomal RNA, 373 nt
Filed under: uncultured organism
Description: partial 16S ribosomal RNA
Rfam family: Bacterial small subunit ribosomal RNA
Source: RNAcentral